CCUGUAUGCACUGAAACUUGGUGCCUCCUGGAGGGGAGUUUCGGUCCCCUAACCACUGGCUUCCUGUCUGUCUCACAGCCAGUUGCCCUGUUAGGAACCAGCUCCAGUUCUGGAGAACAGGCUGGGUAUGGAUUAUAAGCAAGGACGCUGGAUUUUGGUGAGAAGGACACCAUGGUUUAAAAGCUGGACACUCACUUCUCAGGCUGGUGCUGUGGCAGCCACCUUGUAACCAUGAGGCCCUGCCCCCUGCCCAGAAGGGCCGACUCACCAGCCCCAGCAGGCAGCGGACUUCAUUGAUGGCCCCGAUGCAGCCCA
Long non-coding RNA from Fukomys damarensis (Damara mole-rat), 315 nucleotides. RefSeq lists it as uncharacterized. NCBI's taxonomy places the organism in Eukaryota, Metazoa, Chordata, Mammalia, Rodentia, Bathyergidae. The record is from RefSeq and is a predicted model, not a curated record. The transcript has 4 exons.